UAGGGAAUCUUCCACAAUGGACGCAAGUCUGAUGGAGCAACGCCGCGUGAGUGAAGAAGGUUUUCGGAUCGUAAAGCUCUGUUGUUGGUGAAGAAGGAUAGAGGCAGUAACUGGUCUUUAUUUGACGGUAAUCAACCAGAAAGUCACGGCUAACUACGUGCCAGCAGCCGCGGUAAUACGUAGGUGGCAAGCGUUGUCCGGAUUUAUUGGGCGUAAAGCGAGCGCAGGCGGAAUGAUAAGUCUUAUGUGAAAGGCCACGGCGCAACCGUGGGACUGCAUCGGAAACUGUCAUUCUUGAGUGCAGAAGAGGAGAGUGGAAUUCCAUGUGUAGCGGUGGAAUGCGUAGAUAUAUGGACGAACACCAGUGGCGAAGGCGGCGCUCUGGUCUGCAACUGACGCUGAGGCUCGAAAGCAUGGGUAGCGAACAGG
Molecule: ribosomal RNA, 429 nt
Filed under: bacterium
Lineage: Bacteria
Description: partial 16S ribosomal RNA
Rfam family: Bacterial small subunit ribosomal RNA
Source: RNAcentral